This 87-nucleotide transfer RNA is filed under the name Truncatella angustata. It matches the Rfam family "tRNA". Rfam says of the family: Transfer RNA (tRNA) molecules are approximately 80 nucleotides in length. Lineage: Eukaryota; Fungi; Ascomycota; Sordariomycetes; Amphisphaeriales; Sporocadaceae. The record is from Rfam by way of RNAcentral.
GCCCGCUUGGCAUAGUGGUAUUGCGUCGCACUCGUAAAGUUCACGUGCGUCAUGCGAAAGUCGGCGGUUCAAUUCCGCCAGCGGGCA